GGGUAUAUAGCUCAAGUUCUAGAGUGCAUGUUUAGCAUGUAUGAGGUCCUGGAUUCAAUCCCCAGUACCUCCC
This 73-nucleotide transfer RNA is filed under the name Camelus bactrianus (Bactrian camel). It matches the Rfam family "tRNA". Rfam says of the family: Transfer RNA (tRNA) molecules are approximately 80 nucleotides in length. Their secondary structure includes four short double-helical elements and three loops (D, anti-codon, and T loops). Further hydrogen bonds mediate the characteristic L-shaped molecular structure. tRNAs have two regions of fundamental functional importance: the anti-codon, which is responsible for specific mRNA codon recognition, and the 3' end, to which the tRNAs corresponding amino acid is attached (by aminoacyl-tRNA synthetases). tRNAs cope with the degeneracy of the genetic code in two manners: having more than one tRNA (with a specific anti-codon) for a particular amino acid; and 'wobble' base-pairing, i.e. permitting non-standard base-pairing at the 3rd anti-codon position. The record is from Rfam by way of RNAcentral. RNAcentral also lists the same sequence under 1 other name. Lineage: Eukaryota; Metazoa; Chordata; Mammalia; Artiodactyla; Camelidae.